RNAcentral lists this ribosomal RNA (774 nucleotides) under uncultured Neocallimastigales. RNAcentral describes it as "partial large subunit ribosomal RNA". It matches the Rfam family "Eukaryotic large subunit ribosomal RNA", at positions 23 to 649 of the family's 3401-position model. The record is from RNAcentral. Lineage: Eukaryota; Fungi; Neocallimastigomycota; Neocallimastigomycetes; Neocallimastigales.
GAGAUGUGUGAUGACGCAUAUCAAUAAGCGGAGGAAAAGGAAACUAACAAGGAUUCCCUUAGUAACGGCGAGUGAAGCGGGAAGAGCUCAAAUUUGAAAUCUUCAAGGUUCUACCUUGACGAAUUGUAGUUUAUAGAAGUGUUUUCUGUUAGUGGAGUGGCAAAAGUUCUUUGGAAUAGGACAUCAUAGAGGGUGAGAAUCCCGUAUUUGGUCAUUCCUCCUAGCGUUGUGAUACACUUUCAACGAGUCGGAUUGUUUGGGAAUGCAGUCCAAAAUGGGUGGUAAAUUUCAUCUAAAGCUAAAUAUUGGCGAGAGACCGAUAGCGAACAAGUACCGUGAGGGAAAGAUGAAAAGAACUUUGAAAAGAGAGUUAAACAGUACGUGAAAUUGUCAAAAGGGAAGCGUUUGACACCAGUGUUGUUUUUCCGAAAAUCAAUUACGAAUGUUUUGUUUUUAAGAAGUUAUGACUUCAUCGGCUUGCUUCUUUCUUUACGAAACUUUCUUAAUGCACUUUUCGGUUAACAAGUCAACAUCAAUUUCUUUUGUUGUAAAAGGGUAUGAGGAAGGUGGCUUUCUUUUCGGAGAAAGUGUUUAUAGCCUUGUGCCUCUGCAAUCGGAGAGAUUGAGGUCUGCAGCGUAGAUCCUUCGGGGUUAGAUACAUUUGUGCUAAGUUAUAGCUUUUCAUAGACAACUUGUUGACUAUGUUUAGUCUUGUAGCUUACUCGCUUAUGCUAUUUUACCUACGCUUAGGAUGUUGAGUAGCGACAUACGCAC